Labrus bergylta (ballan wrasse) is the source of this 235-nucleotide non-coding RNA. The record is from RefSeq and is a predicted model, not a curated record. Lineage: Eukaryota; Metazoa; Chordata; Actinopteri; Labriformes; Labridae.
UCGGUGUUGUUGUUGUGCUGUCUUUAGUCUUUGUAUUUGGAGGGUGUUAUCUGGGAUGGAGGAUGAUUAGACGUCAAAACUCAGGAAACAGAAGACAAUCAGGACUCGUACUACCCGGGUGAGACGGUUCAGACUGAACUCCUGCAGAGUGAAUCAUCUCCAGGAUCCUGUUCUGGUCCACCUGCUGGAUCCUGACACAUUCUUGAUAUCUGUUUAUAUGUGUAUAUCUGUUUAU